RNAcentral lists this ribosomal RNA (213 nucleotides) under uncultured bacterium. Its description in RNAcentral is "partial 16S ribosomal RNA". It matches the Rfam family "Bacterial small subunit ribosomal RNA", at positions 593 to 793 of the family's 1533-position model. The record is from RNAcentral.
GUAGAAACGGCCCCGGGGCUACCAACCCGUACGGAACUGCUAUUUAGAAACGUGGCAGACUAGAGUACUGUAGGAGGGGGUAGAAUUUCAGGGUGUAGCGGUGAAAUGCGUAGAGAUCUGAAGGAAUACCGGUGGCGAAGGCGGCCCCCUGGACAGAUACUGACACUCAGAUGCGAAAGCGUGGGGAGCAAACAGGAUUAGAUACCCUGGUAG